GACGAACGCUGGCGGCGUGCUUAACACAUGCAAGUCGAACGAUGAAGCUAGAGCUUGCUCUGGUGGAUUAGUGGCGAACGGGUGAGUAACACGUGAGUAACCUGCCCCGAACUCUGGGAUAACUGCUGGAAACGGUAGCUAAUACCGGAUAUGACCAAUGAAGGCAUCUUCUGUUGGUGGAAAGAAUUUCGGUUCGGGAUGGACUCGCGGCCUAUCAGCUUGUUGGUGAGGUAACGGCUCACCAAGGCGACGACGGGUAGCCGGCCUGAGAGGGUGAUCGGCCACACUGGGACUGAGACACGGCCCAGACUCCUACGGGAGGCAGCAGUGGGGAAUAUUGCGCAAUGGGCGAAAGCCUGACGCAGCAACGCCGCGUGCGGGAUGAAGGCCUUCGGGUUGUAAACCGCUUUCAGCAGGGAAGAAGCCGCAAGGUGACGGUACCUGCAGAAGAAGCACCGGCUAACUACGUGCCAGCCGCCGCAGUAA
Molecule: ribosomal RNA, 486 nt
Filed under: uncultured bacterium
Lineage: Bacteria
Description: partial 16S ribosomal RNA
Rfam family: Bacterial small subunit ribosomal RNA
Source: RNAcentral